Molecule: ribosomal RNA, 365 nt
Filed under: uncultured bacterium
Lineage: Bacteria
Description: partial 16S ribosomal RNA
Rfam family: Bacterial small subunit ribosomal RNA
Source: RNAcentral
CCUACGGGGGGCAGCAGUGAGGAAUAUUGGUCAAUGGGCGGAAGCCUGAACCAGCCAAGUAGCGUGCAGGAUGACGGCCCUACGGGUUGUAAACUGCUUUUAUACGGGAAGAACGCGCCUUACGUGUAGGGCUUUGCAUGUACCGUAUGAAUAAGGACCGGCUAAUUCCGUGCCAGCAGCCGCGGUAAUACGGAAGGUCCGGGCGUUAUCCGGAUUUAUGGGGUUGAACGGGAGCGUAGGCCGCAUGUCAAGCGUGCUGUGAAAUGUCCGGGCUCAACCCGGGCCUUGCAGCGCGAACGGGCGUGCUUGCGUCCGCGGCCAGCAGGCGGACUUCGUCGUGUAGCGGUGAAAUGCUUCGCUAUGAC